GGUUGGCCCAAGUACAGAGGUGUUUACAACCAACUGAUAACAAGUUACAGACGUCUUUGUUCCUGCUCCACUCCCAGUGUUUCAUUUGACUAGCCUUUU
Molecule: unclassified non-coding RNA, 99 nt
Organism: Cebus imitator (Panamanian white-faced capuchin)
Lineage: Eukaryota; Metazoa; Chordata; Mammalia; Primates; Cebidae
Rfam family: Y RNA
About the family: Y RNAs are components of the Ro ribonucleoprotein particle (Ro RNP), in association with Ro60 and La proteins. The Y RNAs and Ro60 and La proteins are well conserved, but the function of the Ro RNP is not known.
Source: Ensembl